Molecule: long non-coding RNA, 543 nt
Organism: Myotis davidii
Lineage: Eukaryota; Metazoa; Chordata; Mammalia; Chiroptera; Vespertilionidae
Exons: 2
Source: RefSeq, a predicted model, not a curated record
GGUGGAGGAGAAGUAACAAUCCAUUUUUUCCAAGGACUGGGAAAAAUGCCAGAUUGGAGGUGGCAAAAUUGCCUUGACUGAGUGAGUAGGAGGAUUGAGAGUGUGUGUUAGUGGCUAUGUCUUCACAAGCGUAAAUUCGGGAUUACUAUAUGUUCAGUAGUAGAAAGUGGGACAGACUCUGAAAUAGAAGCUCACUCACUUAAUUUAAGGCGUCUAGCAUCCCCUGCCCCAAAACUAACUUGGGCUUUUCCAGCACAGAAAGAAUUUUUUUAAAAUACAUUUUAUUGAUUUAAGAGAGAAUUUUUUAAUCACAUGAACCCUUUGACUCUGAAGCUGAUGACCAGAUCUUGAAUGAGAAAGUGGUCUCUGCAGAGUUUGGUCCUUAGAGAACAGAGAAGCUCAUCACAUUCUCCUCUCUGAGAAGUCUGAGCCAUUGCAUUUUAUCAUUCUUCACUACUCUAUCUUCUCCAUGGUCUUAUGCCUUAAGAACCAACUACUUGGGUCCAGUCAUAUAGCCACCCAAGUAGGCACUAAAUUAGAGAU